Equus caballus (horse) is the source of this 2084-nucleotide long non-coding RNA. NCBI's taxonomy places the organism in Eukaryota, Metazoa, Chordata, Mammalia, Perissodactyla, Equidae. The record is from Ensembl.
AACAGAUUGCCCAAGAUCACAAACUUGUAAAACCAGAAAACAGGUUUUGGAACCUGGCUUAUUUAUUCCCCAAACCCGUGUCCUUUCCACUUGACUGUCUUGAAUUUCUGAGGCAAAUCAGAGAGUGGACACAGACAUUCAAGGGGAUGCAGGCUUCUGAUGACAGUCCUCAGCUCUUCUCUAAGGAACCGGAGGGGACUCACAAUCAGCGAGGUCAUUUCGGGAGUUCCGACCCCUGGAGUCUGACUCUCUUGGUGUCCCACACCAUUCCCGCCCCUGGAAGUCUGGUCGGGAUGAGCUGUUAGUCUUUGCUUCUCAUCUCCAGCAGGUUGGAGCUCUCUGCCUGUCUAACCGAGGCGCUGGGCCUGUUGUCCUUCUGUGACCUUCGUCUGUGUUCCGCAUCAGCAUCGCCUUUUCCAUGAUGAUUCGGGGAGGCAGGAGGGCACGAUGGUGCGGGUGCCAAACUUGAGAUGGAAUCCUCUUUGAUAGGUCCAUGGUUCCCAAACUGCGCACCGCAGCACCCAGGGACACCAUGACAGAUUCACGGGGACACCAUGGAAUGAUUGCAGUCUCUGAGAGAAACCCAGCGAUAUCCAACUUCUGUUGACCAGCACAGGAACCAUUAGCUCAAGGUAGCUCACAGUUUCAAAAUGAGACUACACUACAUUUCUUUUCAUGACAUCAUAUCUUUGCAAAGGUGGUGUUUUGGUGAUUGCUGUGAUAAAAAGUCGGCACCUCCGGAAAGGCAGAGUGGGACGGGAAAUAAGGGGGGUGGUAUCCCGUCUGAUUCUAAGGCUUCAGAAGCUGUGGAGGGCCCACCACCUACACACAUCCUAUUGGGUUCAGCUAGACUACUCCGGUGUCCCCCAGGGGCAGGCUCCUUGCCAUAAGACAGAGAGCAGACUAGGAUAUAUGUGCUUUGCAGAUAAGUUGGCUCAAAAAAAGGCAAGAGAAAAAGAGUCUGAAGUGGGGAAGCCCAGUUUCAUUCAGGAUAUUUCCUUUUCUGAACAAGAAACAAGGCCUCCUAAAAGCGUCAUAAAGCUGACCAUGAUUACAGAGUCAGUGAACGUCAUCAGCAUCGGCUGAGCCUCAUAUGUAGCCAGGCGCUUCAUGCUCCGAGGGGUUACAUCGCCUCUACUGCAUCAACAUGGCUAACAGACUUCAGAGCUGAGGUUCAAAACUGUGGUGGGUUUGCCUCCAUCAUAUGAAGGAGACAGAAGAGAAGAAGAGAUACGCUCCCCCCUACCCCGGAGAGCCAGGAAGUCUCCCGCGUCUCCUGCCUCUGUUCUUCCUGGGAGUCUUCAGCAGCUUGGAGGGCAGCUUCACAUCCUAUGCUUCUGAUCUGUGGGGCAGAAAGGUCGGGGCGUGGGGAAGGGAGGCUUGUUGGGAGAAAAUCCACUUUCUACGUGUGGCACGUGCUCUAACCCCAAGCGUUCACCAGCACAGACCUGAAGGAAGGACAUACACAUUUCUCUGGGUCUAUAAGGAACAGCAAACAGACCAGGCAUGGAUUAAAACUUGCUGCCUUCUUUUAGUAGAUGUCGCUCCUCUCAUUGCCCGUCAAUCAUUGUGUGACUUUGUCUCAACAUCAUCAUCAGUCAAUUGUUUACCUACCAAAUGCUCUUAUAGGCAGGCCUCACAUUUUUCAGUGUAAAUAAUAAUACCUGUGAAACUUACAUCAUCAAUUUUAUCUCAAAAUAAUUUAGUUAACGCUUGGUAAUUAUUUUAACUUAGAUGAAAGGGGCUAUACAUCUUUUAUUUUCCUCUUCUGAGAUAGACACAGAAAUGGAGAGAUGUAGAGUUGAAGGACGGAGAUCUUGCAAGAUGACUUUCCUUUACAACAUUGAACACAACUGCUAAACAUGAUGUGAGCAUCUUAAAAAGAGCCAAAGUAAUUGUUGUAGAGGUUCAAAAAUAUAUUGUUCAGUGAUGUGCCUUCAGUCUGCCUGUGACCUUUGUGCUGUGGCCUAAGGUCAGCAAGUAGAGAAGGGCUGAGAAAAAAGGUCUAAUGAAGCUCUCUUGUUGGAAGGAAGAGGAAGGGUUUAAAACAGAUUUAAAUAUCUUCAGAGGCAGGGCAGAGAAAG